AAGGGCCAAGAGAGUAUCGAUUAAACAAAUUGUGUGGCUGUGGGACGAAAAGAGCGUGGGUGGACAUUCCUAUGGAUUAGUGUUGGGUAAACAUUGCUCCUUUUGGGGAACAUGUUCACUUGUUCUUUUUUAGUAAGUGAAUCAACUCCAAACUCCACCAAACAUUUUGACACAAAUAAAAUACGUUACAUUUCAAUUUUAAUCAAACAUUUAAAACUAAAAAAAAAAAUUGCAAUGAUUCCAAUGAUUCACUAUACUUUCGAAGUAUCGAAUAUACUUCGAAUUAGCGACAUACUGAAUUUUCAAAAGAAUAAACAGUUUUGCCGGUAAUACAAAAAGUGUGAAGUAAAAGCAAAUAUGAGCAACAACUGCCAGAACGCAAAAUGCCCUUUAAGGAGCAAAAUUUCGCAAAAAGUUGAUAUUUUGUGACCUGCAAGACCAUACACUGAACAAAAUUUCAUUGAGAUAGCUUUAGAACUCAGUUACUUUCUGCCGUUACCUUGAAAUUUUCUU
Molecule: long non-coding RNA, 513 nt
Organism: Drosophila pseudoobscura
Lineage: Eukaryota; Metazoa; Arthropoda; Insecta; Diptera; Drosophilidae
Exons: 2
Source: RefSeq, a predicted model, not a curated record